This 253-nucleotide ribosomal RNA is filed under the name uncultured bacterium. RNAcentral describes it as "partial 16S ribosomal RNA". It matches the Rfam family "Bacterial small subunit ribosomal RNA", at positions 524 to 776 of the family's 1533-position model. The record is from RNAcentral.
UACGUAGGGUGCGAGCGUUAAUCGGAAUUACUGGGCGUAAAGGGUGCGCAGGCGGUUCUGCAAGUCAGGCGUGAAAGCCCCGGGCUUAACCUGGGAAUGGCGCUUGAAACUACAGGACUGGAGUAUGGCAGAGGGAGGUGGAAUUCCACGUGUAGCGGUGAAAUGCGUAGAGAUGUGGAGGAACACCGAUGGCGAAGGCGGCCAUCUGGACAGAUACUGACGCUGAGACGCGAAAGCGUGGGGAGCAAACAGG